UUGACAGUGACAUUUGAACGACGAAAAAGGCAACAUAGAUUGUUUUUAUCCUAAGCAAUGAUGACUGAUAAAUAAUCCUAAUAUUGUUUCUAUGUGUUUAAAAUGUUAAACUUAAAUGGAAUGAUCUAUAUCCUUUUAUAUUUUUCACCCACUACAAAUUACUACAAGCGGAUAACACAGAUGCAGCAUAUAAAUUGGAACGUUUGAGUACUGUUGUAAAUAAUGAUGAGACACCAAAGCCUGCAGAUUGUAUGCCGCUCCUAAACAAGUUUGCAGAUGCAUCAGCAAAUUUUACAAAAUGUAGUAUAAAACAUGCGCGGCCAGUACGACUUUGCGAGAAGUGUAUUGACCACUAUGUGUCAUUCCGAGAUAAAUACCAGGCUUUACUGAAAAAAGAUGAUAAUGGAACAUCAUGUAAGGAGAUAUUUAUUUCACAUGACACACUCGAUGUUGUUUUAGGAUAUUACAACAACAUUAUGUCUGUGUGGAAUAAAGGAAACUGUAAUGGAUGUUACAAUUGGACAAAUGGAGCACCAGAAUUAUCAAA
Manduca sexta (tobacco hornworm) is the source of this 547-nucleotide long non-coding RNA. RefSeq lists it as uncharacterized. Lineage: Eukaryota; Metazoa; Arthropoda; Insecta; Lepidoptera; Sphingidae. The record is from RefSeq and is a predicted model, not a curated record. The transcript has 3 exons.